CCUUAAUUUUGUUAAACAGUACCAUGCUCCAUUUUGGAAAUUCAGGUCUCCUUCUCUCCUGGGAGAGGCACUCAGACAGGUUCAGUAACACCUGCAAUCCAUCUGAAGUGGUAAAAUGUGUUAAUUGCUUAUCCCGAAACACCUGUGGGAGAAGGAAUCUAAUACAAAGCCAAAAGCAGUAUGUUUCCUUAUCCACUUCAUUUAAAAAAAAAAAAACUGAAAUAGAAAAUCCACAGGAGGCAAUAAUUACUUACCCAGUAUAACAGUGCAUUUGUAUUUGCUAAAAUUAGGCAGUG
Non-coding RNA from Pelobates cultripes (western spadefoot toad), 296 nucleotides. The record is from the annotation of a GenBank genome assembly. NCBI's taxonomy places the organism in Eukaryota, Metazoa, Chordata, Amphibia, Anura, Pelobatidae.